CUUGGCUCUCGGAGGCGAUGAAGGACGUGAUAAGCUGCGAUAAGUCACGGGGAGGUGCAAAUAACCUUUGAUCCGUGAAUCUCCGAAUGGGACAACCCGAUAUCCUGAAGGGAUAUCACCUUACAUAGUAAGGAGCUAACGCAGGGAACUGAAACAUCUUAGUACCUGCAGGAAAAGAAAAUAACAAUGAUUCCCCCAGUAGUGGCGAGCGAACGGGGAAUAGCCCAAACCAUUCAUGUUACGGCAUGGAUGGGGUUGUAGGACCACGGCGUUGCAAGAGAUCUUGUGAGAAGAACAGCCUGGAAAGACUGACCAGAGACGGUGACAGUCCGGUAUUCGAAGCAAGACGAAGCAUAGUGGUAUCCUGAGUAGCGCGGAACACGAGGAAUUCUGCGUGAAUCUGCCGGGACCAUCCGGUAAGGCUAAAUACUCCCGAGAGACCGAUAGUGGACCAGUACCGUGAGGGAAAGGUGAAAAGCACUUCGAACAGAAGAGUGAAAGAGUACCUGAAACCGUGCGCCUACAAGCGGUCGGAGCACGAAAGUGUGACGGCGUGCCUUUUGCAUAAUGAACCUACGAGUUACCGUAUCUGGCAAGGUUAAGGGUCACGAGACCUGCAGCCGAAGCGAAAGCGAGUCUGAAGAGGGCGUCGAGUCAGUUGCGGUAGACGCGAAACCAAGUGAUCUACCCUUGGCCAGGAUGAAGUCUGGGUAACACCAGAUGGAGGUCCGCACCAAUAAGCGUUGAAAAGCUUCUGGAUGAGCUGAGGGUAGGGGUGAAAGGCUAAUCAAACUUGGAGAUAGCUCGUACUCCCCGAAAUGCAUUUAGGUGCAGCCUCGCGGGUUACUGAUGUGAGGUAGAGCGACUGAUUGGAUGCGAGGGCUUCACCGCCUAUCAAGUCCUGACAAACUCCGAAUGCGCAUCAGUUUUACCGCGGGAGUGAGGGCAUGGGUGCUAAGGUCCGUGCCCGAGAGGAGAAGAAUCCGGACUAUCAGCUAAGGCCCCGAAAUGACAGCUAAGUUAAACUAACGAAGUCUGAUUGCUAAGACAGCUAGGAUGUUGGCUUGGAAGCAGCCAUUCAUUUAAAGAGUGCGUAACAGCUCACUAGUCGAGGAAUCGGGCGUGGAUAAUAAUCGGGUAUUAAGUUGUCUGCCGAAGCUAUAGAAUCAGCAAUGAUUGGUAGGGGAGCAUUCCAUUCUGCGUUGAAGGCGUGGCGUGAGCCAUUCUGGAGCGUAUGGAAAAGCAAAUGUAGGUAUAAGUAACGAUAAAGGGGGUGAGAAACCCCCUCGCCGAAAGACUAAGGUUUCCUGAUCAACGCUAAUCGGAUCAGGGUAAAGAAAAUCCGCUAAACAUAACUUCAGAGGUACCCGUACCGCAAACGGACACACGUAGUCGGGUUGAAUAUACUAAGGCGCUUGAGUGAAUCACGGUUAAGGAACUAGGCAAACUGACCCUGUAACUUCGGGAUAAAGGGUCCCUACCCAGAAAUGGGAGGGCGCAGAGAAUAGGUCCAGGCAACUGUUUAACAAAAACACAGGGCUGUGCCAAUAUGAAAGUAGACGUAUACAGCCUGACACCUGCCCGGUGCUGGAAGGUUAAGAGGAGAUGUCAUCGCAAGAGAAGCAUUGAAUUGAAGCCCCAGUAAACGGCGGCCGUAACUAUAACGGUCCUAAGGUAGCGAAAUUCCUUGUCGGGUAAGUUCCGACCUGCACGAAUGGUGUAAUGAUCCGGACGCUGUCUCAACCGUGAGCUCAGUGAAAUUGUAGUAUCGGUGAAGAUGCCGAUUACCCGCGAUGGGACGAAAAGACCCCGUGAACCUUUACUAUAGCUUAGCAUUGAAUUUGGGCACGCGAUGUGUAGGAUAGGUCGGAGGCAUUGAAUCGGGCACGCCAGUGUUCGUGGAGCCGCUGUUGAAAUACGACCCUUCGUUUGUUUGAGUUCUAACUUCCGGAUAGAAGGACAUUGCUUGGUGGGUAGUUUGACUGGGGUGGUCGCCUCCAAAAGCGUAACGGAGGCUUCUAAAGGUGCCCUCAGGACGAUCGGUAACCGUCCGCAGAGUGUAAUGGCAAAAGGGCGCUUGACUGGGAGACAGACAAGUCGAGCAGGUAGGAAACUAGAGCAUAGUGAUCCGGUGUUUCCGUAUGGAAGGGACAUCGCUCAAAGGAUAAAAGGUACUCCGGGGAUAACAGGCUGAUCCCUCCCAAGAGCUCAUAUCGACGGAGUGGUUUGGCACCUCGAUGUCGGCUCGUCACAUCCUGGGGCUGGAGAAGGUCCCAAGGGUUGGGCUGUUCGCCCAUUAAAGUGGCACGCGAGCUGGGUUCAGAACGUCGUGAGACAGUUCGGUCUCUAUCUAUCGUGGGCGUAUGAAAUUUGCGUGGCUCUGACACUAGUACGAGAGGACCGUGUUGGACCGACCUCUGGUUUACCGGUUGUGCCGCCAGGCGCAUCGCCGGGUAUCUAAGUCGGGAUCGGAUAAGCGCUGAAAGCAUCUAAGUGCGAAGCCGGCCACAAGAUUAGAUUUCUUGAGGGUCGUUGAAGACGACAACGUUGAUAGGAUGCAGGUGUAAAGCUGGAGACAGCAAAGCCGAGCAUUACUAAUUGCCCGUCAGCUUUCCUUA
Molecule: ribosomal RNA, 2618 nt
Filed under: Phocaeicola plebeius
Lineage: Bacteria; Pseudomonadati; Bacteroidota; Bacteroidia; Bacteroidales; Bacteroidaceae
Description: Bacteroides plebeius 23S ribosomal RNA
Rfam family: Bacterial large subunit ribosomal RNA
Source: RNAcentral